This 1709-nucleotide long non-coding RNA is filed under the name Anas platyrhynchos platyrhynchos (common mallard). RNAcentral's name for it is "lncRNA (ENSAPLG00000019416.1)". Lineage: Eukaryota; Metazoa; Chordata; Aves; Anseriformes; Anatidae. The record is from RNAcentral.
UGGGGACACCGAGCACAGCUCUGGGGGUAGCUGCCCGGUGCUGGGGACGUGCAGUGUGGGCACCGAUCCCCUCCAGCUCCGUGCAGGAUGCGCCCUGGGGUCGUGGGGGCACCGUGCCCGGCAGAGCCACCGGUUGCUGCCCCCUGCUCAUGGUGGGGAUGUUUUAGGGACAAGCUGGGGUCUGGCUCAGCUCGUCCCAUCUUGUCCCGGGGCUCAGCGUCUCCUUCCUCAGCAGGCAGAGCUGCAGCUGCAGGAGCUCUCGCGCUCCAUCUCCUCCUCCUCCUCGCUCAGCGGUACGUCCCGCGCCCCCGGCCGAGCCGAGAGGGGGUCCCGGGGUUGGGGGGGAGGGGGCCGCAUCGUGCCGGGGCUGAGCACCACGGGCGUCUCUCCCCCUUGUGCCGCAGACCUGGGCUGCACCAGCCCCAGCCUCUCGCUGCAGUCCCCGGUGCUGCCGGCGCUGAGCAGCUCCCUGUCGGAGAACGACCUCUCCAGCCCCGUGGAGCCGCCGGCACCCCAAACACGAGGGCAGCUGCCAGUGCUGCCGGGCUCCCCUGCAGGUAUUACAUCCGUCCAUCUGUCCGUCCGUCCGUCCGUCCAUCCCGGCCGCUGACGCCCCUUUUUCUGUCUCUCUCCCCCCCGCAGGCUCGGUGCAGACCUGGCCCCUUCUCUCCACGGCUCCCUCCUGGCCGACGGCAGCGCCGCUCUUCCCCCAAACGCCCCCUCCGAGCACCCCGGGGGCUCCCCCCGUUCCCCCUGCCCUCCCUCCCGCCCUCCCCUCGUCCCCCAUCCCCAGCAGCCCCGUGAGCCCCCCUGUGACCAGCGGUCCCUGGUCCCCGACCACCCCGCUCCUGUCCCUGGCCAACGUCUUCUCCCUGGCGGUGAUGAGCGUGGCCCACACGCUGCUGCCCGCCGUCUCCUCCAUCGCCCCCUCGGGGGGCCACCUCUACCCCCCGCUGCUGCCUCGGCCCCAAAACCUCAUCCUGGGACCCCCUCGUUUCGUCUAUCCCGACCCCGCCAGCAUGGCCAAACCCCCCCCGGCUCACGGCGGGGCGCUGGGGGCCGCUGUCCCCGCUGUGGGGGGUGCCGUGCCCUUCUCUCCUCCAGCACCACCAGGGGGUGAGGCCGCGGGGAGCCCCCCAGCGCCACCGCCACCGUGCGCAUCCACACCGGGGAGCCUGGAGGGCAGCGGGGUGCCGCUCAGCCCCCCCAAGCCCAGCCACCCGCUCAUCGUCGCCGAGUCACUGCCGCCCGGCGUGCCCAAGGCGCGGCUGUCACCCAUCAACGAAGCAGAAGCCAAGCCGCAGAUCCUGGGCCGCUUCCAGGUGACGCCGUCCAAGGAGCCAGCGGUCGCCUCGCCGGCACCGGGCAGCGGCGAGGGCGAGGAGCAUGGCACCGAGCUGGCGGCGAGUGGCUCCCCCCUGCCCCCCGCCCCCGGCACGGGGAGCAGCAGCAGCAGCAGCAGCAGCUCCUCGGAGUCGGAGGCAGCGGUGCAGGACCCCGAGGUGGAGGAGGCGCUGCCCCGGGAGGGCAUGGUGGUGGCGGCGGCAGCCGAGAGCGAGCGGGAGGGCGCCGGGGAGGAGGGCGCUGAGGGUGCUCCGCAGGCGGUGCUGAGCCAGGUGUGGCUGAGCUACUCCCGCAGCCUGUCCUAUGUGAGCAGCGAUGACACCGAGAGCGAGGACGAGGAGAUCUGGGAGGAGCUGCAGAGCCUG